CCUACGGGAGGCAGCAGUGAGGAAUAUUGGUCAAUGGACGAGAGUCUGAACCAGCCAAGUAGCGUGAAGGAUGACUGCCCUAUGGGUUGUAAACUUCUUUUAUAUGGGAAUAAAAUGUUCCACGUGUGGGAUUUUGUAUGUACCAUAUGAAUAAGGAUCGGCUAACUCCGUGCCAGCAGCCGCGGUAAUACGGAGGAUCCGAGCGUUAACCGGAUUUAUUGGGUUUAAAGGGAGCGUAGGUGGAUUGUUAAGUCAGUUGUGAAAGUUUGCGGCUCAACCGUAAAAUUGCAGUUGAAACUGGCAGUCUUGAGUACAGUAGAGGUAGGCGGAAUUCGUGGUGUAGCGGUGAAAUGCUUAGAUAUCACGAAGAACUCCGAUUGCGAAGGCAGUUCACUGGACUGCAACUGACACUGAGGCUCGAAAGUGUGGGUAUCAAACAGGAUUAGAUACCCUUGUAGUC
RNAcentral lists this ribosomal RNA (460 nucleotides) under uncultured bacterium. Its description in RNAcentral is "partial 16S ribosomal RNA". It matches the Rfam family "Bacterial small subunit ribosomal RNA", at positions 338 to 795 of the family's 1533-position model. The record is from RNAcentral.